CCCUUAGAUGUUCUGGGCUGCACACGCGCUACACUGAAGGGAUCAGCGUGUUCUUUUCCUGGUCCGAAAGGAUCGGGUAACCCGCUGAACCCCCUUCGUGGUAGGGAUCGGAGCUUGCAAUUAUUCUCCGUGAACCAGGAAUUCCCAGUAAGCGCAAGUCAUAAGCUUGCGUUGUUUACGUCCCUGCCCUUUGUACACACCGCCCGUCGCUACUACCGAUUGGACGUUUUAGUGAGGAUUUUGGACUGAGCCAAUGGUGGUUCACACCACUGUUGUGCAUGGAAAGAUCUCCAAACUUGAGCGUUUAGAGGAAGUAAAAGUCGUAACA
This 328-nucleotide ribosomal RNA is filed under the name uncultured eukaryote. RNAcentral describes it as "partial 18S ribosomal RNA". It matches the Rfam family "Eukaryotic small subunit ribosomal RNA", at positions 1470 to 1796 of the family's 1831-position model. The record is from RNAcentral.